Long non-coding RNA from Strongylocentrotus purpuratus (purple sea urchin), 879 nucleotides. RefSeq lists it as uncharacterized. The transcript has 2 exons. The record is from RefSeq and is a predicted model, not a curated record. Lineage: Eukaryota; Metazoa; Echinodermata; Echinoidea; Camarodonta; Strongylocentrotidae.
UAUAAAGUUUUGCUACAUGAGAAUUUGCAGCUUUAAGUAGAACCGAUACUUUCCAUCGAUGGCACAGGGGCUUGGGAGACAAGCUGAGAUUUCUACGACUACGAGAGUUGAUGCGAGACGGGACAUUCGGACACGUGACCGACAGAUCACCAAGAACAUGGCGUCUUCAGUAGAGAACGCAAUAUGAACAUUAUGGUGAGCGAUAAUGGUGCCGAUUAUGUUGACGAGACUAUUAUGGAACUUGAGAUAAAUAGUUCGUUGAACUUGAAAGUCACAUCUAAAAAGAUGUCAUAGGCUUAGCAGAGCCAAUUGGACUAUUUCGUGUUUGAGUGUGUAUUGUUGAUGCAUGCAUUGUAUAAAGACGACUUUGAAAGAUGUAAUCAAGGGUGAAGUUAGCGGACAAUACAGGUCUGGAGUUAACCGUUCACGUGACAAGAAGUCAGUUGUUGAUUAUUUUGAGAAGAGAUCAUGAUAUUUGUGAAGGUAUAAUUUGUUAAAGUUGAUAACUAAAUAAACGACAAUAUACUGGUCUGUUUAUUGAUGUUAAGGUAAAGUAUCUCAAGAACGAGAUGUGUAUGAGUUAAUUGUUUAAGCUACAGAUGUGCUAUAUAUAUUUAGACAAUUCAGGUCUGUUUAUAUAUAAACAUUAUUGGUGUAGAAUUCAUGUAUAACAAAUUAUAGAAAGAUUUGAUACAUGUUACAAAGGUGUUGAUCAUAUAUUUGAUUGACAAGGUUGAUUUUAUUUUGAUGGGACCAAGUGUUUUUGGAAAGAGAUUGUAAGAGGAUAUAUAUUUCGUUCGUAUCAUUCUCUUUUUGUCGGAGAAUGGUACUAUUCUUUGCUUUAUAAUAAAGCUUGAUUAUAAUUACGAGUAUCGUAAA